Molecule: ribosomal RNA, 1390 nt
Filed under: Apilactobacillus kunkeei
Lineage: Bacteria; Bacillati; Bacillota; Bacilli; Lactobacillales; Lactobacillaceae
Description: bacterial SSU rRNA
Rfam family: Bacterial small subunit ribosomal RNA
Source: RNAcentral
AAAUUGAUUUUAUGCUUGCAUAAAUGAUUUUUGGAUUCGGAGCGAGUGGCGAACUGGUGAGUAACACGUGGGUAACCUGCCCCGAAGCGGGGGAUAACAUUUGGAAACAAGUGCUAAUACCGCAUAAUUAGUUGGAACCGCAUGGUUCCAACUUGAAAGAUGGCUCUGCUAUCACUUUGGGAUGGACCCGCGCCGUAUUAGUUAGUUGGUGAGAUAAAAGCCCACCAAGACGAUGAUACGUAGCCGACCUGAGAGGGUAAUCGGCCACAUUGGGACUGAGACACGGCCCAGACUCCUACGGGAGGCAGCAGUAGGGAAUCUUCCACAAUGGACGAAAGUCUGAUGGAGCAACGCCGCGUGAGUGAUGAAGGUUUUCGGAUCGUAAAACUCUGUUGUUAAAGAAGAACAAGUGUUAGAGUAACUGUUAACACUUUGACGGUAUUUAACCAGAAAGCCACGGCUAACUACGUGCCAGCAGCCGCGGUAAUACGUAGGUGGCAAGCGUUGUCCGGAUUUAUUGGGCGUAAAGCGAGCGCAGGCGGUUUUGUAAGUCUGCUGUGAAAGCCCUCAGCUCAACUGAGGAAGUGCAGUGGAAACUACAAAACUUGAGUACAGAAGAGGAAAGUGGAACUCCAUGUGUAGCGGUGAAAUGCGUAGAUAUAUGGAAGAACACCAGUGGCGAAGGCGGCUUUCUGGUCUGUUACUGACGCUGAGGCUCGAAAGCAUGGGUAGCGAACAGGAUUAGAUACCCUGGUAGUCCAUGCCGUAAACGAUGAAUACUAGGUGUUGGAGGGUUUCCGCCCUUCAGUGCCGCAGCUAACGCAUUAAGUAUUCCGCCUGGGGAGUACGACCGCAAGGUUGAAACUCAAAGGAUUGACGGGGGCCCGCACAAGUGGUGGAGCAUGUGGUUUAAUUCGAUGCUACGCGAAGAACCUUACCAGCUCUUGACAUCUUCUGCCAACCCAAGAGAUUGGGCGUUCCCUUCGGGGACAGAAUGACAGGUGGUGCAUGGUUGUCGUCAGCUCGUGUCGUGAGAUGUUGGGUUAAGUCCCGCAACGAGCGCAACCCUUAUUAUUAGUUGCCAGCAUUUAGUUGGGCACUCUAGUGAGACUGCCGGUGAUAAACCGGAGGAAGGUGGGGACGACGUCAAAUCAUCAUGCCCCUUAUGAGCUGGGCUACACACGUGCUACAAUGGAUGGUACAACGAGUCGCGAAACCGCGAGGUCAAGCUAAUCUCUUAAAGCCAUUCUCAGUUCGGAUUGCAGGCUGCAACUCGCCUGCAUGAAGUUGGAAUCACUAGUAAUCGUGGAUCAGCAUGCCACGGUGAAUACGUUCCCGGGCCUUGUACACACCGCCCGUCACACCAUGAGAGUUUGUAACACCCAAAGAC